CCUAACAUAUUCUACUCUCAUCUCUCUCUUCCUCUCUCUGCUAGUAGCCAUGGAUGCCGUCGACCGCCACUUCUUCCACCACAGGCGCAACCAUAGACGGAGAAGCCUCCCCUCUCCCUAUACCCUUCUUUUCUCUCUCUUCAUUUCCCGCCGGUGAAACGUGCCACCAUCACCAACAACCCUAUCUGUCAGCCGCCGCCGUUCUCUGGACAAUCGAUGCCACAACUACCGCCAGCCAAUCCAGCCGCUACCAUCGGCGUAAAUAGAGGCAAGCGGAAUGAGGCCCUCAUAUAAUGUCGGCCCCCUUUAUUGUACUAUGUUGUUAUUUUUUUUUGAUGUUCAACUGUUUUCCUUUUAAUUCACGGUUCCUUAAUUUCAAACUAGUGCUUUAGAAAAAAAAAUUAGUCUUAUUUUUGUUUUCAAAUUAUUAAUAUUUUCCAUGAUUAUUGAAUGCAAAUUUUGAAUUUUAUAUUUACUCUUAAGUAGAUUCGAUGCAAAAAUUAUGUUGGAAAAGCUGCAAAAUAGACGGGUUGUAUUUAUUGGGGAUUCAAUUGGAAGAAACCCGUGGGAGUCUCAUCUGCUUGUUGUCUUCUGCAAUUCCUUAUAAAAGCAAGAUAUAUGAAGUUAAUAGAAGUUCUAUUACAAAGCACACAGGUUUCUUAUUUUUGUUUUCAAAUUAUUAAUUUCUAAUACUAAUGAAUAUAUUACCUAAUUGAACUACUCCAAUCAGCUCCUUAACUAGUUCAAUCAAAAAAAUAAAAAACUAACCAACACUAGCACACAAUGACAACAAUAUCCAUAUAUUUUGGAACAUAUACAUUGCAUCAACUGAUCAUAAUACUGAAAGGAUGAAAACAAAUACUAUCAAAAAUUACAAAACAAAUAUACUAGAAAAACAUUCUGGAGCCAGUGAUUCUUUUAUUAUGGAAAAAAACAAACAUCAAGCAACUAAUAGUUAACACUUCUGUUUAUUUUUCCCAAUUUCAAUUUUGUUCCAUUUUCACAUAGAAACCACAGAACUUGGAUUGACAUGAAAUGUGAAUUAAUUACUUGAAAAUGGUUAAGUGUAAUGACUUGAAAUGUGAAUUAGUUAUUUGAAAAUGGUUAAGUGUAGUGACUUGAAAUGUGUACUAGUUAUUUGAAAAUGGUUUAGUGUAGUUACUUGAAAAUGGUUAAGUAUAUUGACUUGAAAUGUCAAUUAGCUAUUUGAAAAUGGUUUGAGUGUAGUGACUUGAAAUGUGUACUAGUGACUUGAAAUGUGAAUAAGUUAUUUAAAAAUUAUUAAGUGUAGUGACUUGAAAAUGAUGAAGUGUAGUUACUUGAAAUUGAGAACUUGUGACUUGAAAAUGAUUAAGUAUAGUGACUUGAAAUCUGUACUAGUGACUUGAAAAUGGUUAGGUUUAGUUACUUAAAAGUGGAUACAUAUAGUGACUUGCAAUGUGAAUUAGUUAUUUGAAAAUGAUUAAGUGUAGUGACUUGAAAUGUGUACUAGUGACUUGAAAAUUGUUACUACGUAUAGUUAUUUGAAAAUGGUUAAGUAUAGUGACUUAAAAAUGUGAAUUAGUUAAUUGAAAAUAGUUAAGUGUAGUGAUUUGAAAUGCUAGUACAUGACUUGAAAAUGGUUAAGUAUAGUGACUUGAGAUGUCAAUUAGCUAUUUAAAAAUGGUUAGAGUGUAGUGACUUGAAAUGUGAAUAAGUUAUUUGAAAAUUAUUAAGUGUAGUGACUUGAAAAUAGUGUAGUGUGGUUACUUGAAAUUGUAAACUUGUGACUUAAAAACGGUUACUAGUGACUUGAAAAUAGUUAAGUGUAGUUACUUAGAAUGUGAAUUAUUUACUUGAAAGUGGUUAAGUAUAGUGAUUUGAAAUGAAUGAUUAAGUGUAGUGACUUGAAAAUGGUUAAGUAUAGUUAUUUUAAAUGUAAAGUAGUUAUUUGAAAAUGGUUAAGUGUAGUGACUUGAAACGUGAAUUACUUAUUUGAAAAUGGUUAAGUGUAGUGACUUGAAAUAUGUACUAGUGACUUGAAAAUGGUUGAAGUGUAGUUACUUGAAAAUGCUUAAGUAUAGUGACUUGAAAUGUUAAUUAGCUAUUUGAAAAUGGUUUGAGUGUAGUGACUUGAAAUGUGUACUAGUGAAUAAGUUAUUUAAAAAUUAUUAAUUGUAGUGACUUGAAAAUGAUUAAGUGUAGUUACUUGAAAUUGUGAACUUGUGACUUGAAAAUGGUUAAGUGUAGUUACUUGAAAUUGUGAACUUGAUGCUUGAAAAUGGCUAAGUGUAGUUACUUGAAAUGUGUACUAAUAACUUUAAAAAAAUAAAGUAUAGUCACUUGAAAAUGAUUAAGUAUAUUGACUUGAAAUGUGAUUUAGUUAAUUGAAAAUAGUUAAGUGUAGUGAUUUGAAAUGUGUACUAGUAACUUGAAAAUAUUCUACGUGUGGUGACUUGCAAUGUUAAUUAGUUAUUUGAAAAUGGUUAAGUGUAGUUACUUGAAAUGUAUAUUAGUUAUUUGAAAAUGAUUAAGUAUAGUGAAAUAAAAUGUCAAUUAGAUAUUUGAAAAUGGUUUAAGUAUAGUAUCUUGAAAUGUAUACUAGUAACUUGAAAAUAUUAAGUGUAGUCACAUGAAAUAUGAACUAAUGACUUGAUUUUUAUAUGUUUUGAUGUAAGAGCUCGAAGUCAACUGCUAAAAAGAAAUCUCAGACACCUGUAGACUCCAAUGAAAAAACUUUAGGAUUGUUUAAGUGUUUUGGUGGUUGUUGGAUUAAUUAUUAAGUAUUUUGUAUUUUGGAUUGUUGUUGAUUUGAAUUACUUGAAUGUUUUGAUAAUGUUGUGCGUUGUAUGAUUAUUUUAGAAAUGUGUGUUGCAUAAGGCUGUAUAUAUUGAAUUGCAUUUUUAUUUGGCAGGUGGAAUGCAAAAAAUGCAGAUUUUUGCAUCAAAAAAAAAUACAGAAAAGCGACGGACAUGAUCCUUUUCAUCCGUCGCUUUUCUGAAAUUUUUUAAAAUAAAAUUUUUAAAAAGCCACGGCCAACGUCGCUUUUUUUCUUCAUUAUGAAGAACAAAAAGCGACGACCAAUGUUGCUUUUUUUUCUUCAUUAUGAAGAACAAAAUGCGACGGCCAACUUCACUUUUUUUCUUUAUUAAGAAGAACAAAAUGCGACGGCCAACGUCGCUUUUUGUCUUCACUAUGAAAAAAAAAUAUUUUUCUCAAAAUACGAUGGACAAUGUCCUUUUUUUUUUAAUCUUUCCUUCAAUAAAACGAUGUUAUGCGUCGUUUUUUGUUCAUCAUGUGUUCUUCACAUGAAGAACCAAAAACGACGCACAGCGUCACUUUUUCUAAAAAAAAGUAACUUGAUUUUUUUUUCAAAAAGAGACGCUCUCCGUCGUAAUAAAAGCGACACAUGCCGUUGUUUUCAAAAAACAACGCCCCUUUUUUAGACGAAAAAAAAGCGACGGAUUUUCGUCGAUUUUGCCCAAAACAGCGACGCUGGCCGUCGCUUUUUGGCAUUUUUUUAGUAGUGUUACUUCAUUUUUGAAGUGUAUAUGAUAGCAGUGCGUAAUAUGUCAGAAAGAAGACAAGUGAUUGAAUGCACGAAUAUAUGCGUGGAGGGACAAUGUGAUAAUGAUCAUCAAAAGUGAUGAUAUUUUCACACGCGAAUUAUGAUCAUAAGAUAUGUUAGAGAAAAAUUCUCUAGAUCAUAUGCCUCGAUUUGCUCCUGAAGUAGCAAUAUCAUAAAAAAGGUUAUAAGCUAUCAAUUUGAUAGGCUUAAGACACAAUUAUAUUUCAUUCAUGGGAAUGAGAAUUUUAAUUUUUAUAAGCAUAGAUCCAUUCCCUUAGUGAAUGUGAUGAUAUUUAGUGAAGCUUAUCGACAAACGUGAACUUGAUUGUGAUGGCUUCACAACCCACCUCUGGAUGAGGCAGAACAAACGAUAAGAGUUAUUUUGAAAUCAUCGAGAAGAGUUAUUUUGAAAUCUACUUCUAAAGUAGUAAAUCUGAAAUUUAUUCAUGUAAUAGUAAAUCUGAAAUUUACCAAAGUAAAAAAGUACAUGUCAUGGUAAACUUGGAGUUUGCUAGAAUAAAAGUUCAUAAGUUGACAUGAACGAUUAUGACAUCCUGAAGAUGUGCAUAUUGAGUAUUGGACAUGUAAUGAAGAAUUAGAAAAUUCUUUAAGAAUUAUUCAUGUUGUUUGUUCUCAUGAUAAGUUGGUUGGGCCAACUAAUUAUUGAAUUGGAUCCCUCAAGAUCUGAAAAAUAUAAAAGGUGAAUAAGGGCCCGUUCACCUUUCAUGUGAUAUAUUAAAAAAAAUACAUUAAUAAGAUAAUCACAUGUACAUUUAUUGUCAACCUGUAGUUUGACAUUCAUUAAGUUGUUUGCUCAAUAAAAUAGAGUUAAGCGCAUAACUUACAGAUUGUGCAGUCAAGACAAUUCAUCUUGAUGAAAAUGGUUUGGAAUUGAAUGCCUUUAAUAAAUAGCUAAACCAUUGUUGAUGAGAACAAAGCUUCAUGUAUUCGUCUGAAAUAUGAUAUGUUGUAUACAAUAACACUUGUAUGCAUUAGACCAAUAAAUUAUGAUUAUUUCUUCCUUCUCAAUUGGUUCAAGGCCAGGAACCAACUAUUCCAUCUAAUAGUUUUGAUGUACGGUAUACGAUUAAUGAAUAUACCAUGAUGCGCAAAGAUAGAGGAUGUGUGUUAGUUUUUCUAACAGAAGGGGAAGAUUAUAAGCAGCUAUGAAAUAUGUUAGGAAUUAUCAUCAGAUCCUCAUUCAAAAGAUAAUUCAAGUCGAAUGCCGAACGCAUCUUAUAUUUAAGCUGCAAGUGCUCUUAUUUUGUGUUCAUAAAGGACAAAGUCUACGCAUACAUGAAGCAUGAUAGACUAAUCUAUUUCAAAUGAAAUAAUCUUUGAAAAAUAAAGAGCAAAUAAUCAUAAUUAGAAGGUAAUAUGCUCUUGAAAAGCCUAUGACAUAACACUUCAUGAAACCUUAUGAGAAGUUCAGGUACCAGAAAAUAAUGAAGUGAUGGGAUCUCAAAAUGUUAUGUCAUACUGUGAACCGAUAUGAAAUGAUAUAUCAUCAAUAAUAUCUUUGAUACAAUAUUGGUGCAAUAUUAUAAAGUAUUACGAGAAUCCGAAUUCUACGUUUAUUUAAGUAUGCUGACAUAGAAAUGUUUAUCAAGUGACACGAAAGAAUGAAUUUUGGUAAGUAUAAAAAUUAUUUGAUUUGUAGUCCAGACACUUGAAGAUGUCACACUUGACAUUUUGGAUAUUGUCACUUGACAAAAAUCCAUAUGAAAAUCUCUAAAGGAUUCAAAAUGCCUGAAGCAUAUAAAGUUUCUGGGGAAUUUUUAAUUAUCCUUAUAAGAGAUAAUUUGAUGAUUUGAGUAUUAUUGGAACUCUUGGAGAGUUUUCAAAAGCAAUAGAAUUUUUACUUAAAUGAGAAACAUAAUAAGGAUCUAUUCUGACCUCAAAAAAAGAAUGAGGAACUCCUUGGUUAUGAAGUACAAUAUCUUAGUGCAAUUGAUGUACUCAUGUAUCUUGCAAAUACUAUAAGACCUGAUAUAGCUCUUUUCAAUUAAUUUGUUAGCAAGUUUGUAGUCCCGAUCUUAUUGAUCAUAUUGAUGUUGGGCACUUAUCUGACCUAUAUAAAGCUUGGUCUCAAAUAGGCUAUAUGUUCAUAUGUGGUGGUACUGCCAUAUCUUGGAGAUCAACAA
Molecule: long non-coding RNA, 5691 nt
Filed under: Capsicum annuum
Lineage: Eukaryota; Viridiplantae; Streptophyta; Magnoliopsida; Solanales; Solanaceae
Description: long non-coding RNA (CANN_LNC002945)
Source: RNAcentral